This is a small nuclear RNA of Tupaia belangeri (northern tree shrew), 103 nucleotides long. Lineage: Eukaryota; Metazoa; Chordata; Mammalia; Scandentia; Tupaiidae. The record is from Ensembl.
GUGCUCGCCUCGGCAGCACGUACAAAAUGUCGGAAUGAUACAGAGAUCAGCAUGGCUCCUGCACAAGGACGACAAGUAACUUCGUGACAUGCCCCAUAGUUCU